This 1099-nucleotide ribosomal RNA is filed under the name Bacillus subtilis. Its description in RNAcentral is "partial 23S ribosomal RNA". The record is from RNAcentral. Lineage: Bacteria; Bacillati; Bacillota; Bacilli; Caryophanales; Bacillaceae.
UUUUAACGGUUAAGUUAGAAAGGGCGCACGGUGGAUGCCUUGGCACUAGGAGCCGAUGAAGGACGGGACGAACACCGAUAUGCUUCGGGGAGCUGUAAGCAAGCUUUGAUCCGGAGAUUUCCGAAUGGGGAAACCCACCACUCGUAAUGGAGUGGUAUCCAUAUCUGAAUUCAUAGGAUAUGAGAAGGCAGACCCGGGGAACUGAAACAUCUAAGUACCCGGAGGAAGAGAAAGCAAAUGCGAUUCCCUGAGUAGCGGCGAGCGAAACGGGAUYAGCCCAAACCAAGAGGCUUGCCUCUUGGGGUUGUAGGACACUCUGUACGGAGUUACAAAGGAACGAGGUAGAUGAAGAGGUCUGGAAAGGCCCGCCAUAGGAGGUAACAGCCCUGUAGUCAAAACUUCGUUCUCUCCUGAGUGGAUCCUGAGUACGGCGGAACACGUGAAAUUCCGUCGGAAUCCGGGAGGACCAUCUCCCAAGGCUAAAUACUCCCUAGUGACCGAUAGUGAACCAGUACCGUGAGGGAAAGGUGAAAAGCACCCCGGAAGGGGAGUGAAAGAGAUCCUGAAACCGUGUGCCUACAAGUAGUCAGAGCCCGUUAACGGGUGAUGGCGUGCCUUUUGUAGAAUGAACCGGCGAGUUACGAUCUCGUGCAAGGUUAAGCAGAAGAUGCGGAGCCGCAGCGAAAGCGAGUCUGAAUAGGGCGCAUGAGUACGUGGUCGUAGACCCGAAACCAGGUGAUCUACCCAUGUCCAGGGUGAAGUUCAGGUAACACUGAAUGGAGGCCCGAACCCACGCACGUUGAAAAGUGCGGGGAUGAGGUGUGGGUAGGGGUGAAAUGCCAAUCGAACCUGGAGAUAGCUGGUUCUCUCCGAAAUAGCUUUAGGGCUAGCCUCAAGGUAAGAGUCUUGGAGGUAGAGCACUGAUUGGACUAGGGGCCCCUACCGGGUUACCGAAUUCAGUCAAACUCCGAAUGCCAAUGACUUAUCCUUGGGAGUCAGACUGCGAGUGAUAAGAUCCGUAGUCGAAAGGGAAACAGCCCAGACCGCCAGCUAAGGUCCCAAAGUAUACGUUAAGUGGAAAAGGAUGUGGAGUUGCUUA